AGAGUUUGAUCAUGGCUCAGGAUGAACGCUGGCGGCGUGCCUAACACAUGCAAGUCGAGCGCGAUUAGUUGGAACGGAGACUUCGGUCAAAGGGAAGGCUAUGAAAGCGGCGGACGGGUGAGUAACGCGUGAGCAACCUGCCCUGUACAGGGGGAUAGCCACUGGAAACGGUGAUUAAUACCCCAUAACCCCAAAGGAUCGCAUGGUCCAAUGGGCAAAGCCUUGGCGGUACAGGAUGGGCUCGCGUCUGAUUAGCUAGUUGGUGAGGUAAUGGCUCACCAAGGCGACGAUCAGUAGCCGACCUGAGAGGGUGAACGGCCACACUGGAACUGAGACACGGUCCAGACUCCUACGGGAGGCAGCAGUGGGGAAUAUUGCACAAUGGGCGCAAGCCUGAUGCAGCAACGCCGCGUGAGUGAAGAAGGCCUUCGGGUCGUAAAACUCUGUCCUAAGGGAAGAAGAAGUGACGGUACCUUAGGAGGAAGCCCCGGCUAACUACGUGCCAGCAGCCGCGGUAAUACGUAGGGGGCAAGCGUUAUCCGGAAUCACUGGGCGUAAAGGGUGCGUAGGCGGCUGAUCAAGCCAGGGGUGAAAGGCUGUGGCUUAACCAUGGUAAGCCUUUGGAACUGGUCAGCUUGAGUGCAGGAGAGGAAAGCGGAAUUCCUAGUGUAGCGGUGAAAUGCGUAGAUAUUAGGAGGAACACCCGUGGCGAAGGCGGCUUUCUGGACUGUAACUGACGCUGAGGCACGAAAGCGUGGGGAGCAAACAGGAUUAGAUACCCUGGUAGUCCACGCUGUAAACGAUGAAUACUAGGUGUCGGGGGUCAAAGCCCGGUGCCGCAGCUAACGCAUUAAGUAUUCCGCCUGGGGAGUACGGUCGCAAGACUGAAACUCAAAUGAAUUGACGG
This 907-nucleotide ribosomal RNA is filed under the name Acidaminobacter sp. enrichment culture clone HB_6. RNAcentral describes it as "bacterial SSU rRNA". It matches the Rfam family "Bacterial small subunit ribosomal RNA", at positions 8 to 916 of the family's 1533-position model. The record is from RNAcentral. Lineage: Bacteria; Bacillati; Bacillota; Clostridia; Peptostreptococcales; Acidaminobacteraceae.